This 254-nucleotide ribosomal RNA is filed under the name uncultured bacterium. RNAcentral's name for it is "partial 16S ribosomal RNA". It matches the Rfam family "Bacterial small subunit ribosomal RNA", at positions 524 to 776 of the family's 1533-position model. The record is from RNAcentral.
UACGGGGGGGGCAAGCGUUGUUCGGAAUUACUGGGCGUAAAGGGCUCGUAGGCGGCCAACUAAGUCAGACGUGAAAUCCCUCGGCUUAACCGGGGAACUGCGUCUGAUACUGGAUGGCUUGAGUUUGGGAGAGGGAUGCGGAAUUCCAGGUGUAGCGGUGAAAUGCGUAGAUAUCUGGAGGAACACCGGUGGCGAAGGCGGCAUCCUGGACCAACACUGACGCUGAGUGAGCGAAAGCUAGGGGAGCAAACGGG